This 469-nucleotide ribosomal RNA is filed under the name Phenylobacterium muchangponense. RNAcentral's name for it is "bacterial SSU rRNA". It matches the Rfam family "Bacterial small subunit ribosomal RNA", at positions 426 to 913 of the family's 1533-position model. The record is from RNAcentral. Lineage: Bacteria; Pseudomonadati; Pseudomonadota; Alphaproteobacteria; Caulobacterales; Caulobacteraceae.
UAAAAUUCUUUCACCGGGGAAGAUAAUGACGGUACCCGGAGAAGAAGCCCCGGCUAACUUCGUGCCAGCAGCCGCGGUAAUACGAAGGGGGCUAGCGUUGCUCGGAAUUACUGGGCGUAAAGGGCGCGUAGGCGGACAGUUUAGUCAGAGGUGAAAGCCCAGGGCUCAACCUUGGAAAUGCCUUUGAUACUGGCUGUCUUGAGUUCGGGAGAGGUGAGUGGAAUGCCGAGUGUAGAGGUGAAAUUCGUAGAUAUUCGGCGGAACACCAGUGGCGAAGGCGACUCACUGGCCCGAUACUGACGCUGAGGCGCGAAAGCGUGGGGAGCAAACAGGAUUAGAUACCCUGGUAGUCCACGCUGUAAACGAUGAGUGCUAGUUGUCGGCAUGCAUGCAUGUCGGUGACGCAGCUAACGCAUUAAGCACUCCGCCUGGGGAGUACGGUCGCAAGAUUAAAACUCAAAGGAAUUGA